AUGAUAGAAAUUUAAACCCUUUUUAAAGUAUCAAUUGGAGGGCAAGUCUGGUGCCAGCAGCCGCGGUAAUUCCAGCUCCAAUAGCGUAUAUUAAAAUUGUUGCAGUUAAAAAGCUCGUAGUUGAAGUUCUGCUAAAAGUAACCGGUCUGCUUUUAAUAAAAGUGGUAUCUUGGUGUGUAUUUAGCAAUGAUGUCCUUUGAAGUGUUUUUUACUUUAUUGUAAUAAAGCAUAUUCAGGACUUUUACUUUGAGAAAAUUAGAGUGUUUCUAGCAGGCCGACGCUUUGAAUACUGCAGCAUGGAAAAUAAGAUAGGAUUUUAGUUCUACAUUAUUGGUUUUAA
Molecule: ribosomal RNA, 340 nt
Filed under: Hepatozoon canis
Lineage: Eukaryota; Apicomplexa; Hepatozoidae
Description: SSU rRNA
Rfam family: Eukaryotic small subunit ribosomal RNA
Source: RNAcentral